RNAcentral lists this unclassified non-coding RNA (200 nucleotides) under soil metagenome. RNAcentral's name for it is "partial internal transcribed spacer 2". The record is from RNAcentral.
UUAAGUUCAGCGGGUAAUCUUGCUUGAUCCGAGGUCGACCUUAAUAUGUGGUGGGUUACAAAAGGCAAUCCUUUAUCGUUUCGCUUUCAGACACAUUUUGCUGUGCUUGGCUAAACUUCAGACGCCAAUAAGUUUGAAGCCGUUGAUUUUAUGCAUACGCACAAGAAUCAACAGGCUCAUCGCAAGGCAAAGCCUUAUGG